RNAcentral lists this ribosomal RNA (446 nucleotides) under Listeria monocytogenes. Its description in RNAcentral is "bacterial LSU rRNA". It matches the Rfam family "Bacterial large subunit ribosomal RNA", at positions 2480 to 2925 of the family's 2925-position model. Lineage: Bacteria; Bacillati; Bacillota; Bacilli; Caryophanales; Listeriaceae. The record is from RNAcentral.
GGCUUAUCUCCCCCAAGAGUUCACAUCGACGGGGAGGUUUGGCACCUCGAUGUCGGCUCAUCGCAUCCUGGGGCUGUAGUCGGUCCCAAGGGUUGGGCUGUUCGCCCAUUAAAGCGGUACGCGAGCUGGGUUCAGAACGUCGUGAGACAGUUCGGUCCCUAUCCGUCGUGGGCGUAGGAAAUUUGAGAGGAGCUGUCCUUAGUACGAGAGGACCGGGAUGGACAUACCUCUGGUGUACCAGUUGUCGUGCCAACGGCAUAGCUGGGUAGCUAUGUAUGGACGGGAUAAGUGCUGAAAGCAUCUAAGCAUGAAGCCCCCCUCAAGAUGAGAUUUCCCAACUUCGGUUAUAAGAUCCCUCAGAGAUGAUGAGGUUAAUAGGUUCGAGGUGGAAGCGUGGUGACACGUGGAGCUGACGAAUACUAAUCGAUCGAAGACUUAAUCAAUUU